RNAcentral lists this ribosomal RNA (509 nucleotides) under uncultured bacterium. RNAcentral describes it as "bacterial SSU rRNA". It matches the Rfam family "Bacterial small subunit ribosomal RNA", at positions 501 to 1009 of the family's 1533-position model. The record is from RNAcentral.
CUACGUGCCAGCAGCCGCGKUAAUACGUAGGUGGCAAGCGUUGUCCGGAAUUAUUGGGUGUAAAGCGCGCGCAGGCGGAUUGGUCAGUCUGUCUUAAAAGUUCGGGGCUUAACCCCGUGAUGGGAUGGAAACCGCCAAUYUAGAGUAUCGGAGAGGAAAGUGGAAUUCCUAGUGUAGCGGUGAAAUGCGUAGAUAUUAGGAAGAACACCAGUGGCGAAGGCGACUUUCUGGACGAAAACUGACGCUGAGGCGCGAAAGCCAGGGGAGCGAACGGGAUUAGAUACCCCGGUAGUCCUGGCCGUAAACGAUGGGUACUAGGUGUAGGAGGUAUCGACCCCUUCUGUGCCGGAGUUAACGCAAUAAGUACCCCGCCUGGGGAGUACGACCGCAAGGUUGAAACUCAAAGGAAUUGACGGGGGCCCGCACAAGCGGUGGAGUAUGUGGUUUAAUUCGACGCAACGCGAAGAACCUUACCAGGUCUUGACAUUGAUGGACAGAACUAGAGAUAG